CCCCGCCCGAACACGGUAGUUAAGCUUCUCUGCGCCAAUGGUAGUUGGGGGCUUCCCCCUGCGAGAGUAGGUCGCUGCCGGGC
RNAcentral lists this ribosomal RNA (83 nucleotides) under Listeria monocytogenes. The record is from RNAcentral. Lineage: Bacteria; Bacillati; Bacillota; Bacilli; Caryophanales; Listeriaceae.